This 197-nucleotide unclassified non-coding RNA is filed under the name fungal sp. RNAcentral describes it as "partial internal transcribed spacer region". The stretch from base 1 to 46 matches the Rfam family "Eukaryotic small subunit ribosomal RNA", at positions 1786 to 1831 of the family's 1831-position model. Lineage: Eukaryota; Fungi. RNAcentral also lists the same sequence under 1 other name. The record is from RNAcentral.
AAGUCGUAACAAGGUUUCCGUAGGUGAACCUGCGGAAGGAUCAUUAUUUGAUCUAAAUCGGAGGUAUUUGCAAAAAUAUCGCCUUUUUGCUUUGUGAACUGUAUUGUACUGUUGUAUUUUUUUUUUAAAAAAGUUGUUGUUUUCUUCGGAAAGCAGAAAUUUAAAGACAACUUUCAGCAAUGGAUCUCUUGGCUCUU